UCGAGGAUCUUCGGCAAUGGGCGCAAGCCUGACCGAGCGACGCCGCGUGUGCGAAGAAGGCCUUCGGGUUGUAAAGCACUUUGGCAGGGGAGGAAAGCCGUAAGGUCUGACCUAUCCUGAGAACAAGCACGGGCUAAGUUCGUGCCAGCAGCCGCGGUAAGACGAACCGUGCGAACGUUGUUCGGAUUCACUGGGCUUAAAGGGCGCGUAGGCGGACUGUCAAGUCAGGGGUGAAAUCUUUCGGCUUAACCGGAAAACAGCUUUUGAUACUGACAGUCUCGAGGGAGGUAGGGGCAUGCGGAACUUCCGGUGGAGCGGUGAAAUGCGUUGAUAUCGGAAGGAACUCCGGUGGCGAAAGCGGCGUGCUGGAUCUCUUCUGACGCUGAGGCGCGAAAGCUAGGGGAGCAAACGGGAUUAGAUACCCCUGUAGUCC
This 433-nucleotide ribosomal RNA is filed under the name uncultured bacterium. Its description in RNAcentral is "bacterial SSU rRNA". It matches the Rfam family "Bacterial small subunit ribosomal RNA", at positions 355 to 796 of the family's 1533-position model. The record is from RNAcentral.